GGGUGUGAAAGGCAGCGGUGGCCACAGAGGCGGUGGAGAGAUGGCCUUCAGCGGUUCCCAGGCUCCCUACCUGAGCCCAGCCGUCCCCUUUUCUGGGACUAUUCAAGGAGGUCUCCAGGACGGACUUCAGAUCACUGUCAAUGGGACCGUUCUCAGCUCCAGUGGAACCAGGUUUGCUGUGGACUUUCAGACUGGCUUCAGUGGAAAGGACAUUGCCUUCCACUUCAACCCACGGUUUGAAGACAGAGGGUACGUGGUAUGCAACACGAGGCAGAAUGGAAGCUGGGGGCCCGAGGAGAGGAAGACGCACAUGCCCUUCCAGAAAGGGAUGCCCUUUGACCUCUGCUUCCUGGUGCAGAGCUCAGAUUUCAAGGUGAUGGUGAACGGGAGCCUCUUCGUGCAGUACUUCCACCGCGUGCCCUUCCACCGUGUGGACACCAUCUCCGUCAAUGGCUCUGUGCAGCUGUCCUACAUCAGCUUCCAGACCCAGACAGUCAUCCACACAGUGCAGAGCACCCCUGGACAGAUGUUCUCUACUCCUGCCAUCCCACCUAUGAUGUACCCCCACCCCGCCUAUCCGAUGCCUUUCAUCACCACCAUUCCGGGAGGGCUGUACCCAUCCAAGUCCAUCAUCCUGUCGGGCACUGUCCUGCCCAGUGCUCAGAGGUAAGCCAAGGGCUCCAGUGACCUCUGGGAAGAGAAAGCCCUUCAA
Molecule: small RNA, 712 nt
Filed under: Pongo abelii (Sumatran orangutan)
Lineage: Eukaryota; Metazoa; Chordata; Mammalia; Primates; Hominidae
Description: retained intron
Source: RNAcentral